This 229-nucleotide ribosomal RNA is filed under the name uncultured eukaryote. RNAcentral describes it as "partial 18S ribosomal RNA". It matches the Rfam family "Eukaryotic small subunit ribosomal RNA", at positions 1208 to 1456 of the family's 1831-position model. The record is from RNAcentral.
UGAAAUCUCACCAGGCCCGGACACUGGAAGGAUUGACAGAUUGAUAGCUCUUUCUUGAUUCGGUGCGUGGUGGUGCAUGGCCGUUCUUAGUUGGUUGAGUGAUUUGUCUUGUUAAUUCCGAUAACGAACGAGACCUCGACCUGCUAAAUAGAGCGACGAAUCCUUGUGAUUCGUUGGUACUUCUUAGAGGGACUGUUGGUGCCUAGCCAAUGGAAGUUCGAGGCAAUAA